UUUAUUUAGGACAUUUGUAAGCUGUCCACUUUCUCAAUAAUAUAAGAUGGUUUUUAAAAGUAGAAUUAAAACAGAAUACAAUUGAGACAAAUCUUAAAUCAACAUUAAAACAAUAAGGUAUUACAUUAAAAUGAUUAAAAACAAUUAAAACAACUGAAGCCAUUACAAUGCCUAGGCAAACAAGUAUGUUCUGAGCUCUUACCUAAACCAAUUGUACAAUUUUAUACACUAUUGUGAACAUUGGUGAAUCUGUCUCAGGCAAUUGGCAACCAUUGAACUUGUUUCUACAUAGGGGAUAUGUGGGACUCUAAGGAGGUACCACUUAUCAUCCAUGUUGCUGCAUGCUGGACCUCACAACAAGCACAUUAUGGGAACAUUACAAUAAUCUAAUGUGGAGAUUUCAUGAGUUCAUGAGUCACUAAAACUGGGCCUCUUUCCUCCAAUUAAGGAUUGAAGGAAAAGCUACAUAAACAGCCUUCUGAGCCACUGAUGUUACAUGGCUAUCAAACUCUAAUGCUGGAUAUAGGAGGAUCCCAAAACUAACCUCAGAGGGAACACAAUCUCAGCCCAAAACAGAGUGUAAAUUCAACCAUAACAGGAAUUUUUCAUUUGUUUAUAGGAAGUUUUAACAAAUACAUAUAAAUGUUUUGCUGAAUAGUUAAUCUUAAAACAGUCUAAUAUUGGGUUAUUCUAUAAGUCCUGGCGUACUCUAUGCCUUGUAUUGACUGGCACUUAAAAGAAGUUCCUUGUGACAAAUUUCAAACUUCUGUUUCAGAACAUCCCACUACUUAUAUAGCCUUGUUCUUUUGAUCUUAUUUGCUUUGACCUGUAGGAUCUCAGUAACAUGAUACAAAAAAAUUCAGGGGAGACCAUUUUCCUCAUUACUCAUCCUGAUUACAGUAUCUUUUAUCUGAACUUUUAUUCACUAUCUGGGUUCACAAAACACACUGGGUUAAAAUGUGGUUGGUUAGUUUGUGGAUUAAAGUAUCAUAUAAACCAUUCAAAAACCUUAACAAGGCUGUCAGGGCUGUUUCAUAUAUUAUGUGAGGAGGAACAUGGUUUACUUAGUAAUCAUAUGUUUAGCUGCAAAAGCCCAGUUUAUGUAACUGGUGCAAUUAAGUAACUUCCAAGAAUCUCUUAAAUAUACAUCCUAAUAAUUUUACACCGUAAGUGUACACUUCAGAAAUGUAAUGCAGAAGAGACACAGUAAUCUAGUAGAAGCAUUCAUCAGUUGUUGAUGUUAUAAGCUCAAAUAUCCACAGUAAGCAGGUUAAAUAUCCAAUGUAUAGUGCAUAGCACCUGUUUUCUGAAUGCCAUGUGAACUUUAUGAAUAUAAUCUAUGUGCUUUAGUGAAAAAGUAAUCACAUCAGGUGGAGGAAAGGAAUUUCUACCUUAGGGUUCACUGCAUUCCAAAAGGGAAAUCCCACAAGUUUAAAAUAAGGCUUGAUCCCAAACGGCUGUUUAGGAUUGUAACUUUAAGUCCAAGGAGUGUGAUUUAGGAAGCUACCGAGUUUGAGAACUGAAGCCUAGAAGAUGUACAAUUCAUUACUCUGUAAGCAUUUACCAGACUGUUGUCAGCCCUGUUCCUGCACCGUGUCAGAUGUUUCCCAUGGUGGAAAUCACUGUUAGAUCUCUGUCGCUUCUAAACUGCCAAGAGGAACAGAGUAAUAAUUAUCUGAAACACUCUACACAGGAAAGAAGGAAAGGAAGCACGGCCAGGCCGUCUACAGCUCCAGCUCGGCAGCUCCGACCCCGCUCAUUCCAGGGUCUCCACCCCCACCUUCCUGUUUUCUCUGCAGGGGGUGGCAACGAGGUCACCAUCCGAGAGAAACUGGAAGGGGGAAGCGGCAGCUGCAGGGAGGCGAAGAGCCGCGAAGGAACCUGCCGAAGCGGAGGCCCGCGCGGGCAGGAGAGAUGGUCGCUCCCCGGCGCGAAGGACGCGCGGAUUCGUAGAACAGGCCGGAGGCGGAGCCGGCCGAGAAGAGCAAGCCGGGGACGGACGGGCGCGCGCGACCCAUAAGGGAACGCUCGGCAGGCGGCAGCGCCCCGGCCCUGCCCGCGCCGAGCUUGCUGGCUUCUGCGUGGCGCGACGUGCAGCGAAUAGGAAAGCCUGCUUUACCUGGGGCCAGAGCGAGGGAGCGUCAGUCAGUCUCCCGCCCCCGAAGCUGAAGAGCCGUCGUCACGCCAGGCGGGCGUCGCGAGGGAAAGGCGCUGCGGAGGCGGCAGAGGGUCGGCUCUUCGCUAAAGGGCGUUUUUGGUUGCGCGCGCUCGCUUCGCAAAGCACCCUUUAUAAGCCCCCGCCAACCACCCAGGCUGCGGCGAUUCGGUCUUAGAAGCACAUCACCCUGGUGGCAGGGGGAUUACUCCCCUAAACAACCUGCCCGUAGUUACUCCAGGGAAAAUCCCACGAAUUGGAUGGGGCUGAGUGCCCCAUGAGCAAAAGACUGCCCAUUUUAGACUGCAACUCCAGAAGCAAAUUGUUCCUUUACUUUUAAGACGCAGUCUCAGAAGAUGGUAAGCCGAGGUCUGCAUUUCAGCGACAAUCCUUAGUGGGAGCGCGCAAGGCCCAGUCCAACUAAGCAUUGCUGACUUCUCCCGAGUAAAUCCCCACCGGCUUGCACGGCGAGUCGAUUUCCAGGGCGGUUCUGCCCGGGACAAGAGUCGGCAACCACUUUUCGCUUGCCAAGCUGUCCAGUCUCCCUCCUCGUUUUAAAAUCCGAUUUGGACUUGGGUGGGAGCAAAGUAAGCGGGGGAGAGGGAAGGCAGCCCAGACGGCCGCGGAACGCCACGCGACUCUUGGCUGACAGGCGCAAAGGGAAGACCGGGCGUGGCGCGUGGCCGCGCGAAACAGGCAGGUGGCGCCGGCGCUCCCGCUGGACGAGAGCUGCAGAAGCGCGCCUUCCUAGCCAGACUUGGCGCCCGGCUUGUGCCCUUAGUGCGGCUGAGAGUGCAGGAGCAGCAGACCACCUGGAAUGUGGAUGUAGGCUUCUGACAUUAGCAGCGAUGUUGAACUGAGCCUCUUUCCUAAAUGCCUCUGGUGAAGAAUGAUUCGUUUUCUGCCUUGCAUGUGAACCGUUGCUUAUGCCACUGCGAUAGAUACCUGCAAGAACAGGAGAAAGGAGACGAUACCUGUCACUGCCUGGGGCCUUCUCUCCCCCUUCUCCUCUUUUUUUUCCUCAGCUCUUCUGCCCUGGAAGCCGUCUACAGGUCCCAGAGUAAUACUUAGUCCUGGUCCUGUAGGUAGCCACAGUCGCUCAGAUCAGUUAGAGCAAAAGCUCAGACCAGCAAAGCAGGCUCCCUGAUCCAAGUCCGUUCCAGUCCUUUUGGAUGGAUACAGGGGAGCAGCCGACUAGCAGGGACACAACCAGCCAUCAAGUGGAGCACCUCUGGGACUGCAGUCGGUCCCAAGCGCUGCUGACUUUGUUUUACCUUCUCUUUCCCCUCAGCAGCUAUUAAUGGCUUUGGGGUAUAUUUGUAUGGAUUAGCGUGUCACGAGGGCACUCCUUGUCCGCGUCAUGUUGGAAAUAAGAGUGCUGAAGUCAGCCUGCCUUAACCGUGGUUUCUUUCUGCGUGAUGCUAUGCAGCUAGAAUGGGUCACACUGACAACCAAGGAAGGAUCACCACAUUCCUGGACUCCUGGGAUGUUGUUUCAGGAAAAAUCUAACUCUUUCUCAGUGCAUUAUGCUUUUUGUCUUCUGCUUUUUCUCCUAUCUAUACCUCUAGAUAUAAAGACCUAAUUAUAUAAAAGACUUAAUCAGAAAGGCACCGCUAUGGACGUGGGUUUCAAAAUGCUCUGGGGUGGAGGGAAGGUAGUUCAUGGAGAACUGUGAUGUGAGGCAGGAUGCACACCGUCUGCAUUCUUGCUGAUUUGAAACACUCUGUUUUUUUGUGAAGAGCAAGCCCUAAGGGACGAGUUCAGUGACUAAGAAAGCGAUCGCAGAUAAAAGAAAUAAAAAUGACAAGCAUAAUGGAAGCUCAGCAGAAGAAACUGUCAGCGAAAUCAGUGCCUGGAUGGUAAUCUUAUCCAGUCUGAAUAAUUAUGAAUAAUUCAUAGAACAAAAUUACUUUGCUUUCACCUUUUCCACUUAAAAUGGCAUGAUGUGAAUCUCUAAUAAAUUUUCAAGAAAAAAAUAUAACGCCAACUUGAAUCUGAAGAGGUUUUUACAACCAGAUGCUAUAUCCUGAUUCUUCCGGUACCUUUCACAAUGAUUCUGUGAGAACCCUACUUCAUCACGAAGCACUAUUACCAAUGAAAAUUACAGUGAUUACAAUGGCAACAAUAGAGUGCUAUCAAAUGAUUUCUAAUAUACCUAAUUUUCUAAGGCUGACUGCAUUGAUUUUCAUGCGCAGAUCUAAAUGCCUGGCUUCUUGGAUUUUAUAUCAGAAUGUGAUAAAAAUGGCUUGGUAAAUAUGUGUUGUGUUUGGUGCUUUUAUGGGAAAAUGUAGCUUUAUGUUAAAAUGGUUAUAGCCAUCUAUUUAUUUGUUAUUCUACCAUUCUUGAUGAUUGCAUUAAUUUCCUGCUCAUAGGAUUGCAUUCUGUUACAUGUUUGUUUAUACCAUAAUGCUCGAGCACUUAUACAACAGCAAAUUUAGCUGAAUAAUUUGUACAGCUGUAGAAGUAUGUAUUCUUUGAAUUAGAUAAGUACCCUGAACUUGUUUGAAUGGCUGUUUUCAAGUUAAAAAAAAGAUUUCUGUUGUACUGGCAGUUGAGGCUUAGCUAACUAACUAUAUAAUCCAAAAAUGGGUGCGUUACACGAGACAAUUAAAAAUAUAGCAUAUGUGUAACUUAGGAGAUUCUUUAAAAGAAUUAUUCAGUCCCUAGUUUCUUGUUAGCGCAAGUACAUUUUUGUGUUAAUAUGCGUGAAUAUGAUAAAACAAGAACCAGGGUUUAAACAAAUGGGAAACAACAUAGAAUGAAAUUACAGUAUGCUAAAAUUCUCACUAUAUUCUUUUGAAAAUAAAUUCCUAUCUAGCAAGGAGCCACAAAUAUAGGAAAACUGAAUAAACAUUUAUGGGUUCCUAAAAUUAAAGUAGAAUAUUAUUGGUG
This is a non-coding RNA of Python bivittatus (Burmese python), 5047 nucleotides long. The record is from RefSeq and is a predicted model, not a curated record. NCBI's taxonomy places the organism in Eukaryota, Metazoa, Chordata, Lepidosauria, Squamata, Pythonidae.